GCCCAUUCGAUGGAUUCUCUUAUAACGUGUAGGGAUGUCAUUGUGAUCAUAUUUUAUGAAAAAGAAGAGCAAAUAAAUUUUCAUAAAUUAUUUUGAUCAUAAAUAAGUUUUGAUUAGAUCUAAAAUGAUUUAUGAUUCAUUAUAAUAAAAUAUUUUUAGAUAUAAAAUUAUUUUAAGAUCUGAAAAGUAUGUUACAUUAGAUGUAAUCAGU
RNAcentral lists this long non-coding RNA (211 nucleotides) under Elaeis guineensis (African oil palm). RNAcentral's name for it is "long non-coding RNA (EGUI_LNC055103)". Lineage: Eukaryota; Viridiplantae; Streptophyta; Magnoliopsida; Arecales; Arecaceae. The record is from RNAcentral.